RNAcentral lists this long non-coding RNA (2124 nucleotides) under Scophthalmus maximus (turbot). RNAcentral describes it as "lncRNA (ENSSMAG00000031183.1)". Lineage: Eukaryota; Metazoa; Chordata; Actinopteri; Pleuronectiformes; Scophthalmidae. The record is from RNAcentral.
AUGACCGUCUCUACCAUCCUCACCCUGCAGCAGACAGAGAGUCAGAGACAGAAAGUCAGAGACAGAGACAGAGACAGAGACAGAGACAGAGACAGAGACAGAGUCAGAGACAGAGAGUCAGAGACAGAGACAGAGAGUCAGAGACAGAGACAGAGACAGAGAGUCAGAGACAGAGACAGAGACAGAGAGUCAGAGACAGAGACAGAGAGUCAGAGACAGAGACAGAGACAGAGACAGAGACAGAGUCAGAGACAGAGACAGAGACAGAGACAGAGAGUCAGAGAGUCAGAGACAGAGAGUCAGAGACAGAGAGUCAGAGACAGAGACAGAGACAGAGACAGAGAGUCAGAGACAGAGACAGAGACAGAGACAGAGAGUCAGAGACAGAGACAGAGACAGAGACAGAGAGUCAGAGACAGAGACAGAGACAGAGAGACAGAGAGUCAGAGACAGAGAGUCAGAGACAGAGACACAGAGACAGAGACAGAGACAGAGAGUCAGAGACAGAGACAGAGACAGAGAGUCAGAGACAGAGACAGAGACAGAGACAGAGAGUCAGAGAGUCAGAGACAGAGAGUCAGAGACAGAGACAGAGACAGAGAGUCAGAGAGUCAGAGACAGAGAGUCAGAGACAGAGACAGAGACAGAGAGUCAGAGACAGAGACAGAGACAGAGACAGAGAGUCAGAGAGUCAGAGACAGAGACAGAGACAGAGACAGAGACAGAGAGACAGAGACAGAGAGUCAGAGACAGAGAGUCAGAGACAGAGACAGAGACAGAGAGUCAGAGACAGAGACAGAGACAGAGACAGAGAGACAGAGACAGAGAGUCAGAGACAGAGUCAGAGACAGAGACAGAGACAGAGUCAGAGACAGAGUCAGAGACAGAGACAGAGACAGAGACAGAGAGUCAGAGACAGAGUCAGAGACAGAGACAGAGACAGAGACAGAGACAGAGUCAGAGACAGAGACAGAGACAGAGACAGAGUCAGAGUCAGAGAGUCAGAGACAGAGACAGAGACAGAGACAGAGAGUCAGAGACAGAGUCAGAGUCAGAGACAGAGACAGAGACAGAGUCAGAGACAGAGUCAGAGACAGAGACAGAGACAGAGACAGAGAGUCAGAGACAGAGUCAGAGACAGAGACAGAGACAGAGACAGAGACAGAGUCAGAGACAGAGACAGAGACAGAGACAGAGUCAGAGUCAGAGAGUCAGAGACAGAGACAGAGACAGAGACAGAGACAGAGAGUCAGAGACAGAGACAGAGACAGAGAGUCAGAGACAGAGACAGAGACAGAGACAGAGAGUCAGAGUCAGAGACAGAGACAGAGACAGAGAGUCAGAGACAGAGUCAGAGUCAGAGACAGAGACAGAGACAGAGACAGAGUCAGAGUCAGAGACAGAGAGUCAGAGACAGAGACAGAGACAGAGACAGAGUCAGAGACAGAGAGUCAGAGACAGAGACAGAGACAGAGACAGAGUCAGAGACAGAGUCAGAGACAGAGAGUCAGAGACAGAGUCAGAGUCAGAGUCAGAGACAGAGAGUCAGAGACAGAGACAGAGUCAGAGACAGAGACAGAGACAGAGUCAGAGUCAGAGACAGAGAGUCAGAGACAGAGACAGAGACAGAGACAGAGACAGAGUCAGAGACAGAGAGUCAGAGACAGAGACAGAGACAGAGUCAGAGACAGAGUCAGAGACAGAGAGUCAGAGACAGAGUCAGAGUCAGAGUCAGAGACAGAGAGUCAGAGACAGAGACAGAGACAGAGACAGAGUCAGAGUCAGAGACAGAGAGUCAGAGACAGAGACAGAGUCAGAGUCAGAGACAAGAGUCAGAGACAGAGACAGAGAGUCAGAGACAGAGUCAGAGACAGAGACAGAGAGUCAGAGACAGAGUCAGAGACAGAGACAGAGACAGAGACAGAGACAGAGUCAGAGACAGAGACAGAGAGUCAGAGUCAGAGACAGAGAGUCAGAGACAGAGACAGAGAGUCAGAGACAGAGACAGAGAGUCAGAGACAGAGACAGAGAGUCAGAGUCAGAGACAGAGACAGAGUCAGAGACAGAGACAGAGACAGAGUCAGAGACAGAGACAGAGAGUCAGAGACAGAGACAGAGAGUUAG